This 87-nucleotide transfer RNA is filed under the name Ardenticatenales bacterium. Its description in RNAcentral is "tRNA-Ser". It matches the Rfam family "tRNA". From Rfam's summary of the family: Transfer RNA (tRNA) molecules are approximately 80 nucleotides in length. Their secondary structure includes four short double-helical elements and three loops (D, anti-codon, and T loops). The record is from RNAcentral. Lineage: Bacteria; Bacillati; Chloroflexota; Ardenticatenia; Ardenticatenales.
GGGGAGGUGCCAGAGUGGUCGAUCGGGCUCGCCUGCUAAGCGAGUGUGCUAGAAAUAGCACCGAGGGUUCGAAUCCCUCCCUCUCCG